This is a non-coding RNA of Punica granatum (pomegranate), 2596 nucleotides long. The record is from RefSeq and is a predicted model, not a curated record. Lineage: Eukaryota; Viridiplantae; Streptophyta; Magnoliopsida; Myrtales; Lythraceae.
CCAAAACCACGACACAAAUGUCCAUAAGAAAUUUCCCUUGCAACGAAAGAUUCCAAGACCUGAAACUUCAGGGCAGCCCCGCUCCCACCCAGGAAAAAACCAUCUCGGCAACUAUUUCCACACUCGUUCUUCCAUCUCAUUCGGUUUCAAACAACCGAAAGCUGCGAGCUUUGGUUCUCUUUCUCCAGCGGACGCAGGAACGGAGCUCGACCCACCAAACCAAACCUGCCCAUCAUCUAACCUUUCCAUCGCCAUGAAUGAAGACGGAGGUGGUCUGAUCACCUACCCACAAUAAAUCUCCAUCACCGAAGAGCUACCCGUAAAUAACAAUUCCUUGUGCGCCCCAAUUAAUUGCGUGCCCAAUAAGUUUCACCUAGAAAUGAGGUCCCCAUUUAAGGCCUUUAACUACCACAGCCUCAGACUUGUCCACACUUGUCGCUUAUCCCGCUAUUAUCAUUCUUCUCCUCCUCCUCCUCCUCUCAGAGCAUCUGCUUUCUCUCCUCUCACUCGGGCACUUGAUUCUUGCCUCUCUCAGUCUCGUCUUCUGUCGACAUCCACGUUCAUGGAGGUGGUUAAAGCGGCUGCAAAGCAAGGUUCUGCAGCAUGUGAUAGUGUUGCUAUCAGGGCUGAUCAGAAGAGCUACAGUUAUCAACAACUUGUCUCUAGUGCAGUAAAUAUAUCAAGGUUCUUGUCUAGCGAGGACUUAAAUUCUAGUGCAGGAAAUGGACAUCUUAAUGGUGCUUGUGUAGGAAUCAUAGCCAAACCUUCAGCGGAGUUUGUUGCUGGAAUUCUGGGAACUUGGCUUAGUGGAGGAGUUGCAGUUCCUCUUGCUCUCAGUUACCCCGAAGCCGAACUUCUUCAUGUUCUGAAAGAUUCGGAUGUCUCUAUUAUACUUAGCACUGAAGAUUACCAUGAGCUAAUGCAAAAUGUGGCUGCAAAAAGCUCUGCAAAGUGUUCACUUAUCCCCUCUGUUCCCGUUGGAAGAACUGAGGCAGAGAAAGCACCGCUAGAAAAUUUUCACAGCUCUCAUGAGAGAGGUGAAGAAGAUCCCGCCUUAAUUGUAUAUACAAGUGGUACAACUGGAAAACCGAAAGGAGCCGUGCACACUCACAAAAGCAUCAGUGCACAGGUCCGAACUUUGACUGAUGCCUGGGAGUAUACAUCUUCGGAUCAGUUUCUGCACUGUCUGCCUCUUCAUCAUGUUCACGGGUUAUUCAAUGCUCUACUAGCCCCUCUCUAUGCAGGGUCCACGGUUGAGUUUAUGACGAAAUUUAGCGUGAGGGGAAUAUGGCAGCGCUGGUGUGAAUCAUAUCAUGAAGGAAUUAAGGCUGAUGAUGCGAUUACUGUUUUCACAGGGGUUCCAACUAUGUACACACGAUUAAUACAAGGUUAUGAAGCUAUGGGCACAGAUCUACAAGCUGCUUCAGCUUCUGCAGCUCGCAAUUUGAGGUUGAUGAUGUGUGGUUCCUCUGCUUUACCUUAUCCUGUUAUGCAAAGAUGGGAAGCCAUAACAGGACAUCGCCUUUUGGAACGGUAUGGGAUGACCGAGUUUGUCAUGGCAAUCUCGAACCCUUUAAAAGGCGAAAGAAGAGGUGGUACUGUUGGAAAACCAUUUCCUGGUGUUGAGGUUAAGAUUCUCGAAGAUGAAAGUGGAAAUGAUGCCCCUGGUGUGGGUGAGCUGUGUAUCAGAAGCCCUUCCUUGUUCAAGGAGUAUUGGAAGCUUCCUGAGGUAACUAGAGAAUCAUUUAUUGAGGGUGGAUUCUUUAAGACUGGUGAUGCUGUUAGAGUGGAUGAAGAUGGAUAUUACCUCAUCAUGGGACGUACCAGCGCCGAUAUCAUGAAGGUCGGGGGAUACAAGCUGUCAGCAUUAGAAAUUGAGGCAAUUCUUUUGGAGCAUCCUGUUGUGGCAGAGUGUUGUGUGUUGGGUUUACCAGAUAAAGACUAUGGAGAAGUUGUGUGCGCUAUUAUUGUGCCUGAGGAAGAAGCAAAGAGGAAAUGCGCAGAAGAGCUGAAGCCUGCGAUAACUUUGGACGAACUUUGUACCUGGGCAAAGGAUAAACUUGCACCAUACAAGCUACCAACAAGAUUGUUCCUAUGGGACUCGCUUCCUCGUAAUGCCAUGGGAAAGGUCAACAAAAAGGAGUUGAAGAAAAAGCUAUCUUUUGAAGGUCUAUGAGGUGGUUUACCUUCCCAUGAAAGGUUUCGGAGUCUUUCAGGUAUAAUAUAGAGGAUGAAGUUGUGAUCAAGGCAAAGAUAUUAGGCUCGAAGUUGAAGCAAAACUUUGAUAUACCGUCGGAGCAAGAGGCGAGCAAUCCGUAAGCUUCUGCCAAAUAGAUCCGUCUGUACAGAUCGAGUACAUCGAUUGUUCUUCUUACGGUUUCUUUGGAUCGGCAUGGCAAAAGGGGUUUAUAUACUUUGAUUUUUAUUGUCUUAUCUUUUCCCGAAGCAUUUGAUUAAGAGUUCUAGGAAUGUGAAAGUGACUCAUCUGAGACAUAUGGCAUAGGUUGAGGCUGAAUUAUGUAAUUAGGGAAUAUUUACAGCAUGAGUCCACCUGAGAAAUGAUAAUACAUCAUGCUUCCCAUCAUUCCUACAGAAA